GAAAUGCGAUAAGUAAUGUGAAUUGCAGAAUUCCGUGAAUCAUCGAAUCUUUGAACGCACAUUGCGCCCUCUGGUAUUCCGGGGGGCAUGCCUGUCCGAGCGUCAUUGCACACCCUCAAGCGCGGCUUGUGUGUUGGGCCCCCGCGUCCUUGCCAUUUAAAGGACGGGCCCGAAAGGCAGUGGCGGCGUCGCGGUUAUCCGAUCAGCCAGAGCGUAUGGGGACUCUCUCUCUUGUCACACGCCCGCGGCGCGGACCGACGCCUGUCGACCUUUAUUCAUCUUCUCUCGGUUGACCUCGGAUCAGGUAGGGAUACCCGCUGAACUUAAGC
RNAcentral lists this unclassified non-coding RNA (329 nucleotides) under plant metagenome. RNAcentral's name for it is "partial contains 5.8S ribosomal RNA, internal transcribed spacer 2, and large subunit ribosomal RNA". The stretch from base 1 to 105 matches the Rfam family "5.8S ribosomal RNA", at positions 50 to 154 of the family's 154-position model. The record is from RNAcentral.